UUGAAUAUUUAAAUAAAAAUUUAAAAAGACUAUUCUUUUUGGUUUUUUGUUAGUGGGAUUAUAUCACAAACCUAUCACUUCAGUUGUCUUUUGCUUUCCAUCUGCUGCCAUCUCUACCUUAGCUUUUUAUGGUUUCAUAUGCUACUUUGAAUAUUGACUCACUAGCUAAUUUUAGUUGUUAAUUUCCUUUUCCUGUGCUUAAGACAAAUACCGAAAUCAGCCAGACAACCCAAACCAUCCUAAAGGAAAAGCAUUCUGGGACAUAGUUGUGGAAACUAUUUUUCUAAAAUAAUGACAGAAGCAUGUAAAAGCAUGGAGUCUGAGAAGUGGUGUAAUUGCUUUACCCUUAGAGACAGUGGAAUGUGUCUUAGCGCAAUUAUAAACAUUGUCAAGGACCUUCCUAGUCAGGAGUGACACUUCUAAAAGGUAGUGGGUAUUAGUGUCAAAGCUGUAAGUAGACAUAGAAAAACUGAAUUAAAAUUAAGUACAAACUCUAUAUUUAAAAAAUAAUCUUAUGAUACAAAAUAGAACAAUAUUUGGUAUAAAAUUAAUCAUAUAAACCAUAUGCUUUAUUCAUAAGCAUAUGGAUUCUUAGUCUAGGGCUCACUAUUUAGUCAUCAUGAUCUUAGAUUUCCCUUAAUACAGUCUGUCUUGCAUCAUCUAAGCUGGCCAAGAUUUCUAGUUUACCCAGAGUAAAUGUUACACAUAGUUGAAAGGGCAUGAAUCUACAGUUCAAAGAGUAUCCAAGGACCAAGUUCUUUUCCGUCAUUGACAGUCUGGGUGAAGCAGAGCAGAUUGUAUAAGAUCCCAGAGCUUUCAUUGUUUCAUAGGAAAGAUGGAGAUAACAUUACUUCACAGGACAGUUGGGAGUGAAAACAAAGCCUUCAAGCAAUCCCAUAGCCAAAACUCUAAGUGAGGUGAAAUUCAUCUCAUGUCAGGAGCACUGUGGUCUCAAAAUGAUAUGGAAUAAAGGUGAAAGAAAACUUUCUCAGAUGAAGGAAAACUAAGAGAAUUCACAGCAAACCUGCUCUAAAAAUAUUGCUAACGCUCUUCAGAUGGAGGGAACUCAUACCAGAAGGAAACUUGGAUGCCAGGAAUGAAGAAAGAGCAACAGAAAAAGUAAAUACCUAGAUAAUAUCCUGGAAGUAAAGUAACUGGCUCGGUUGCAAACCUUACUAUCAGAUUGCCUUGCAGCAGGACCAUCACUUCACAUUUACAACAGGCAAGUCUCCAACAAGGUCCAUGUGCUUGUAAUUUAUGCAAUCCUCAUUUCCAGUUCUUUUUAUUUCUCUACUUUAUGCAACAUCUCAAGUCUUCACUAACCCUGUGUUGAUGCUGCUGGGAGAACCAACUCUGUCUCCUCCAAAACAGAGCCAGAAGUUUCCUCUUAGAAAAACUUCCACCGAUCAUAACCUCAAUUCUCUCCAAAGUCAUUUUCCACCUAAUUUCCAUGCAUGACUUUGGUCUCAGGAUAGGCAGCUAAGCCUAAAGUUUGAUAACUGGAUGUGUCUGAAUUCUUGACUUUAGACCACAUCCUGCCGAGCUCAUUGCCCCUCAAGGCUUCAGCUGACUUUGUAGUUUUAACUUAUAACCACCCGAGCCUCUUCUAGUGCAAAAACUCGUUCAAGGACUUGGUCUCCAGCUUGCUGCACUGUGGCAAAUGUUAGUCUGAAGGACUUAGAAGGUAUUUCUCAGGAUUUAAAGGCCCAAUAUCUUCCAACAAUCA
Long non-coding RNA from Sus scrofa (pig), 1726 nucleotides. RefSeq lists it as uncharacterized. NCBI's taxonomy places the organism in Eukaryota, Metazoa, Chordata, Mammalia, Artiodactyla, Suidae. The record is from RefSeq and is a predicted model, not a curated record.